RNAcentral lists this ribosomal RNA (468 nucleotides) under uncultured bacterium. Its description in RNAcentral is "partial 16S ribosomal RNA". It matches the Rfam family "Bacterial small subunit ribosomal RNA", at positions 28 to 507 of the family's 1533-position model. The record is from RNAcentral.
GAUGAACGCUGGCGGCGUGCUUAACACAUGCAAGUCGAACGGAAAGGCCCUGCUUUUGUGGGGUGCUCGAGUGGCGAACGGGUGAGUAACACGUGAGUAACCUGCCCUUGACUUUGGGAUAACUUCAGGAAACUGGGGCUAAUACCGGAUAGGAGCUCCUGCUGCAUGGUGGGGGUUGGAAAGUUUCGGCGGUUGGGGAUGGACUCGCGGCUUAUCAGCUUGUUGGUGGGGUAGUGGCUUACCAAGGCUUUGACGGGUAGCCGGCCUGAGAGGGUGACCGGCCACAUUGGGACUGAGAUACGGCCCAGACUCCUACGGGAGGCAGCAGUGGGGAAUAUUGCACAAUGGGCGGAAGCCUGAUGCAGCAACGCCGCGUGCGGGAUGACGGCCUUUGGGUUGUAAACCGCUUUCGCCUGUGACGAAGCGUGAGUGACGGUAAUGGGUAAAGAAGCGCCGGCUAACUACGUG